Molecule: ribosomal RNA, 428 nt
Filed under: uncultured archaeon
Lineage: Archaea
Description: bacterial SSU rRNA
Rfam family: Archaeal small subunit ribosomal RNA
Source: RNAcentral
CACCAGCCCCUCGAGUGGUGGGGAUGAUUAUUUGGCCUAAAGCGUCCGUAGCCGGCCGGGUAAGUUUCCCGUUAAAUCCAACGUCUCAAGCGUUGGACUGCGGGAAAUACUGCCUGGCUAGAGAGUGGGAGAGGUCAGCGGUAUUCUGGGGGUAGGGGCGAAAUCCUUUGAUCCCCGGAGGACCACCAGUGGCGAAGGCUGCUGACUAGAACACGUCUGACGGUCAGGGACGAAAGCUGGGGUAGCGAACCGGAUUAGAUACCCGGGUAGUCCCAGCCGUAAACGAUGCAUGCUAGGUGUUGGGUUGGCCACGAGCCACCCCAGUGCCGCAGGGAAGCCGUUAAGCAUGCCGCCUGGGAAGUACGAUCGCAAGAUUGAAACUUAAAGGAAUUGGCGGGGAGCACCACCAGGCGUGAAGCCUGCGGUUU